Molecule: ribosomal RNA, 1834 nt
Rfam family: Bacterial large subunit ribosomal RNA
GACUGCGAGUAAUAAGGCCCGUAGUCAAGAGGGACACAGCCCAGACCAACAGCUAAGGUCCCCAAUGCCGUACUAAGUGGUGAAGGAUGUGGAGUUUCGAAAACAACCAGGAUGUUGGCUUAGAAGCAGCCAUCAUUAAAAGAGUGCGUAAUAGCUCACUGGUCGAGAGGCUCUGCGCCGAAGAUGACCGGGGCUAAAGUACGGAACCGAAGCUUUGGCAAUUAGCGAUGCUAAUUGGGUAGGGGAGCGUUCCUGCAUGGGAGAAGCCUGACCGGAAGGACAGGUGGACAGGCAGGAAGAGAGAAUGCCGGUAUGAGUAGCGAAAAGGGUGGUGAGAAUCCACCCCACCGAAAGCCUAAGGGCNNNNNNNNNNNNNNNNNNNNNNNNNNNNNNNNNNNNNNNNNNNNNNNNNNNNNNNNNNNNNNNNNNNNNNNNNNNNNNNNNNNUUCCUGUACCGCAGAAGUAUGAUUGAGCGAUGUGGUGACACAAGAAGGACGAUGCGCAUGCGACUGGAAGAGCAUGUCUAAGCAGGUAGGCUGUAGAGUAGGCAAAACCGCUCUAUGAAAAGGCCGAGAAGUGAUGGGGAGCUUUCCGAGAGGAAAGUGAAGGGAUCGGAACUAGAUUGUCGAGAAAAGCUGCUAAGGAUAGCCCAGAGUAUGUGAAGUCCAUACGGAUGGAGCAGGAAUGGGCGGCAGAAGAGAGGCCCAAGCGACUGUUUACCACAAACACAGGCGUCUGCUAAAGCGAAAGCUGAUGUAUAGAUGCUGACACCUGCCCGGUGCUGGAAGGUUAAGAGGACGUGUUAGCUGUAAGGCGAAGCAGAGAAUUGAAGCCCCAGUAAACGGCGGCCGUAACUAUAACGGUCCUAAGGUAGCGAAAUUCCUUGUCGGGUAAGUUCCGACCCGCACGAAAGGUGUAACGAUUUGGGCACUGUCUCAACGAGGGACCCGGUGAAAUUGAAGUACCUGUGAAGAUGCAGGUUACCCGCGACUGGACAGAAAGACCCCAUGGAGCUUUACUGUAACCUGAGAUUGGAUUCCGGUAUAAGAUGUACAGGAUAGUUGGGAGGCGGAGAAGUGCGUACGCCAGUAUGCAUGGAGCCACUGGUGGGAUACCAACCUUGUUGUAUUGGAAUUCUAACGAGAGCCGUAACAAAGCUGCGGACAGUCUCAGGCGGGCAGUUUGACUGGGGCGGUCGCCUCCUAAAAAGUAACGGAGGCGCCCAAAGGUUCCCUCAGCGCGGACGGAAACCGUGCGAAGAGUGUAAAGGCAGAAGGGAGCUUGACUGCAAGACGUACAGGUCGAGCAGGGACGAAAGUCGGGCUUAGUGAUCCGGUGGUAGAGAGUGGAAUUGCCAUCGCUCAACGGAUAAAAGCUACCCUGGGGAUAACAGGCUUAUCUCUCCCAAGAGUCCAUAUCGACGGGGAGGUUUGGCACCUCGAUGUCGGCUCAUCACAUCCUGGGGCUGAAGUAGGUCCCAAGGGUUGGGCUGUUCGCCCAUUAAAGUGGUACGCGAGCUGGGUUCAGAACGUCGUGAGACAGUUCGGUCCCUAUCCAUCGCGGGCGUAAGAAACUUGAAAGGGGCUGCUCCUAGUACGAGAGGACCGGAGUGGACGAACCAAUGGUGUACCAGUCAUACCGCCAGGUGUGCAGCUGGGUAGCUACGUUCGGGACGGAUAAACGCUGAAAGCAUCUAAGCGUGAAACCAGCCUAAAGAUGAGGUUUCUCAUUGCAAAAGUAAGGUCCCACAAAGACGAUGUGGUAGAUAGGCCGGGAGUGGAAGUACAGUAAUGUAUGGAGCGGACCGGUACUAAUAGACCGAGGACUUGACUUA